GCCGAAGUGGUGGAAUUGGUAGACACGCUGUCUUGAGGGGGCAGUGGGGGUAACCCCGUCCGGGUUCGAGUCCCGGCUUCGGCACCA
Molecule: transfer RNA, 87 nt
Filed under: Nitrospirota bacterium
Lineage: Bacteria; Pseudomonadati; Nitrospirota
Description: tRNA-Leu
Rfam family: tRNA
About the family: Transfer RNA (tRNA) molecules are approximately 80 nucleotides in length. Their secondary structure includes four short double-helical elements and three loops (D, anti-codon, and T loops).
Source: RNAcentral